AGUCGAGUGCGCGCCCGUAGCAAUACGGGUGGCGCACGGCGCACGGGUGCGUAACACGUGGGUACCUGCCCUUUGAUGGGGAAUAACCCCGCGAAAGCGGGGCUAAUUCCGCAUAAGAUCCGCAAGGAUGAAAGCCGUAAGGCGUCGAAGGAGGGGCCUGCGCACGAUUAGCUAGUUGGUAGGGUAACGGCCUACCAAGGCUUUGAUCGUUAGCUGGUCUGAGAGGAUGGCCAGCCACACUGGAACUGAGACACGGUCCAGACUCCUACGGGAGGCAGCAGUGGGGAAUCUUGCACAAUGGGCGAAAGCCUGAUGCAGCGACGCCGCGUGGGGGAUGAAGCUUCUCGGAGUGUAAACCCCUUUCGACCCGGACGAAUACCUCGCAAGAGGGGUGACGGUACGGGUAUAAGAAGCCCCGGCUAACUACGUGCCAGCAGCCGCGGUAAGACGUGGGGGGCCAGCGUUGCUCGGAAUUACUGGGUGUAAAGGGUCAGUAGGCGGUGUGGCAAGUCGGGAGUGAAAUCUCUGGGCUUAACUCAGAGACUGCUUCCGAAACUGCUGUGCUUGAGUAUGGGAGAGGCGCGUGGAAUUGCAGGUGUAGCGGUGAAAUGCGUAGAUAUCUGCAGGAACACCCGUGGCGAAAGCGGCGCGCUGGACCAUAACUGACGCUGAAUGACGAAAGCUAGGGGAGCAAACAGGAUUAGAUACCCUGGUAGUCCUAGCCCU
This 726-nucleotide ribosomal RNA is filed under the name uncultured bacterium. Its description in RNAcentral is "bacterial SSU rRNA". It matches the Rfam family "Bacterial small subunit ribosomal RNA", at positions 60 to 803 of the family's 1533-position model. The record is from RNAcentral.